CAGUAGCCGCGGUAAUACGUAGGGUGCAAGCGUUAAUCGGAAUUACUGGGCGUAAAGCGUGCGCAGGCGGUGUUGUAAGACUGAUGUGAAAUCCCCGGGCUCAACCUGGGAACUGCAUUGGUGACUGCAACGCUGGAGUGCGGCAGAGGGGGAUGGAAUUCCGCGUGUAGCAGUGAAAUGCGUAGAUAUGCGGAGGAACACCGAUGGCGAAGGCAAUCCCCUGGGCCUGCACUGACGCUCAUGCACGAAAGCGUGGGGAGCAAACAGGAUUAGAUACCCCGGUAGUUCCUGUCUCUUAUAC
This 301-nucleotide ribosomal RNA is filed under the name uncultured bacterium. RNAcentral describes it as "partial 16S ribosomal RNA". It matches the Rfam family "Bacterial small subunit ribosomal RNA", at positions 509 to 807 of the family's 1533-position model. The record is from RNAcentral.